Molecule: ribosomal RNA, 428 nt
Filed under: uncultured bacterium
Lineage: Bacteria
Description: bacterial SSU rRNA
Rfam family: Bacterial small subunit ribosomal RNA
Source: RNAcentral
GAACGAGAAAGUGGAGCAAUACAUGAGUAAAGUGGCGACCGGGUGAGUAACACGUGACUAACCUACCUCCGAGUGGGGAAUAACUCCGGGAAACCGGGGCUAAUACCGCAUAACAUCGCAAGAUCAAAGCAGCAAUGCGCUUGGAGAGGGGGUCGCGGCUGAUUAGCUGGUUGGCGGGGUAACGGCCCACCAAGGCGAAGAUCGGUAUCCGGCCUGAGAGGGCGCACGGACACACUGGAACUGAAACACGGUCCAUACUCCUACGGGAGGCAGCAGUGGGGAAUUUUGCGCAAUGGGGGAAACCCUGACGCAGCAACGCCGCGUGGAGGAUGAAGCCCUUUGGGGCGUAAACUCCUUUCGACUCGGACGAUAAUGACGGUACGAGUGGAAGAAGCACCGGCUAACUCUGUGCCAGCAGCCGCGGUAAU